Molecule: long non-coding RNA, 3281 nt
Filed under: Homo sapiens (human)
Lineage: Eukaryota; Metazoa; Chordata; Mammalia; Primates; Hominidae
Description: HSALNT0389363
Source: RNAcentral
AGAGCCACUGCACUCUAGCUUGGGCAACAGAGCAAGACCCUGUCUCAAAACACACACAUGUACACACACACAGAAAGUGCCGGGGGAAAUAAUAUGGUUGUGCUGUGUUUGUUCUGGUGGGUCUUACUGUGUUUCUAUGAGAAAGGCUGAUGAGCAAUUUUCAGAAUUUGAGGCAAAACUGGUUCUUCCUGUUUCAUCCUAUUUGUAUUUUUAUUAUCCCAAUUUUGCAGGUAAGGAGACCAAAGCAGAAAGAUCAGUAACCCUCCUGGAGUCUCACAAUUAAUAUGAAUCAGAGCAGGAUCUUCAACUCCUCAACUUGUGUUUUUAACUGGCACAUCUUCCUGCCUGGGUGCAGCAGGUGGGAAAUCCAUCAUGGAAAGGAAAGAACAGACAUGAGAGUCAUUCCAUUCUCUUCCAGUUCAAAUCUUUUUUUGUGAAAAAAAUGGUAGUUGUGACCCAUGAAUUAAUUUCACGGCCCACUAAUUGGUUACAACCCACAGGAUGAUAGAACAUAGGUACUAAAAUGAGGGCUGGGGCAUGGGUGAGGUAUUUCCUCUCCUUCCAAAAUGACUUAAUUUUAUCCAUUUAAAAUAAAAUUUGCAUUUACCAGAAUAGUGGCAAAAAUUUAUUGUGCAGAAUAGAAUAAUUGAUUUAUUACAUGAAUGAUUAGUUCAAGAGUCAUCUGUUGAGCAUCUGCACUGGAUUAGGCCCAGAGAUGCAUGAAUGAAUAAAAAGAUAAUGCCUCUCUUGAGGUGCAUAUAAUCUAAGGUGGAAAGAAAACCAUAAAGAGGCAUUUUCAAUACAGUGUGGUAAGGGCUAAGGGAGGGAAUGUGUGUGUGAUGACAGCGCAGAGCAGGACCACCAAACCCAGGUCAUGAGAGUUUCCUAAAGGUGGUUACAUCUCAGAAUAGUCUGUCGAGGAGUAGGUGUUAGGAGAAGACAGGGUGGGGUUGGGAAGGUGGAAGUGGAGGACAGAGCAUCCAGGUAGGGCCAUCUUGCAGACAUGACAUUCCAUGCCAUGCUCAGGACAUGUUAGCUGCUUCAGUACUGUGAGUGUCAGGUGGGAGCUGUGGCAUGGUAGGAGGUAAGCCUGGGGAAGAAGGUGAGGAUGAGACUCUGGAGAGUCUCAUAGGCCUUGCUGAGGUCUUUGGACUUUUUCUCUAGGUGAUAGGGGGCAAUUGAAUGUUGAAAAUUGUUUUCUUAUUUUUUUUCCUGGGGCAUUAGCAAUUGAUCACUGCACCCUCACCAGCCUUUAAUGUUUUCCUAAUUUGAUAGGUGAACAAUGGCCUAGCAUUGUGUUAAUUUGCAUUUCCCUGACUACUGGUGCAGUUAGACAUUUUUUUUUCAGGUGUUUAUUAGCUAUUUGUACAUAUUCAUGCCCUUUGCCCAUUUUUCUACUGGGAUUUUAGUAUUCUUAUUGACUUAUAUGAGCUCUUUAUAUAUUAAAUAUAACAACCCUUUGUCAUAUUUAUUGCAUAUAUUUUCACCCAGCUUUGUCAUUUGCUUUUUAGUUUUGUUUACAAUGGUUUCUGAUGUCCAGAAGUUUCAAAUUUUGUGUAGUCAAAUUUAUUGAUUUUCUUUUUGUUAGUUAUUCCUUCCAUUGCUUUUAUACUUUCUUAUCUAGAGAUCAAAUAAAUAUUGAGAGCUGGAGCUAUGGAACAAAAGGCACAUAAUAAUAUUCACAUGUUAGGUGUAGUGGCAGAAAAAAACAACAGGGUAGAAAAAACCCAAACCUUCCUUUAUCCACCCCAAAUCCACCCCAAUCCACCCAAAUCCUGUGGGAACAGUCACAGGUCAAAGAAAUAGACAAGAAUGGUGAGGAGAGGAAGGGAACACCUUGAAGGACGAGUAGGAGCUGGUCAGGCAUACAGGGUGUGUGGGAGUAGCACAGAAAGGAAGCUGCAUGUCCCAAGGUAGAGGAUGAAGAGACAAGCAUGUCUGAGUGCGGGGGAUGCAGGGCAGAGAAAAGCCACACAAUUUCUGCUCUCAUGAGAUUGUAGUCUGGUGAGGAAAGACAUACAUUAAACAAAAUGUUGCUUAAAUAAAUGUAAAAUGAAAACUUUAAAAGUGUUGUAAGAAAAUAAUUUGAAUCUUAUGAGAGAUUAUAAGGGAAACUGAUCUAUCUAGAUGUCAAGGAAGGCUUCCAGUAAGAGGAUCUUUGAUAUACUAUCUGGAGGAUAAGUAGGAGUCCAGAGGUGAAGAAGUGGAUGUAUGAGAAACUGUACAUGUAAAGGCCCUUUGGCAGAAGGACAAGAACUGAGACCAGGCCAGUGUGACUGAAGAGCAGAGCAGACAGGGAAGAAGGCCAGGUGAAAAUGGGGGAGGGACUGAAUCAUGCCAGACAUUGCAGGCCAUGUGAAGGACUUUGGUCUUUCUCUGAAGAGUGAUGAGAACCCAUUCAAAUGGUUUAUUCAGAUCUGGUGGGUUUUGAUUAGAGGUGGAGACAUAAUCAGAUUUGUAUUUUGAGAAGAUCCUUUUGCCUUCUACGUGGAGAACCAAUAGGAGGAGGCUGGAGCAGAUAGGAGCUGCCUGAUGCUGCUGCAGCAGUCUAGCCAGAGACUCAAGCUGACUUCUUUCAACUUCCCCAGGGUACCUAGUGCACAAACCUGGCAUACAUCGCUCUCCUCCAAGACCCAGCCUGGGAGAGCCUACCUCUUGAGAGCUGUCUCAAGCUGAAGGUACCAACAUGAUGCCAUUGAACAUGGGACGUGAUGUGCAUAAUCAGCUCUUGGGAACCUUCAGGUGUGGGCUACAGCACCUCACUGGACCGCUGGGUUCCUAGUAGAGUGGAGGAAGUGUUCACUUAGCCACAACUUUGCUUCACCCUGGAGGCCAACUGAGGCAUGUUAGUAUACCCUCUCCCUGUAGUUCUGGAGUGAGGACAUUGGAAAGCUAAACAGUGGUGCUUGAUUCAAGGUGCUUGAUCUAAUUUCUGUGGCCUUUGUCUGAAGAGGGAGGAAUAAGAACGUGUCAACCUGGAAUUCCCAGACUGGCUGAUUGGGUCACAUUUGGAAAGCUGCUGUGUGCACAUCUGAUUAUCCUGCACCUAGGACUAUGAUUCAUUUCUUCUUUCUCAGAACGUGUAUCAGUUUGUUAUAUUGAUUAGCCUGAUUGUCUGAAUAGUGUCUUUCUGUGUCAAAUCUAUGAAAGUUUGAACCCUAUAUGCUUUUGCUGAAUACUGUAUUUCCAAUACCUAGUAAUUAUACCUAGACUGACACAUAGUGGGAAUUUUUUUCUUCAAGUUUAAGUGAAAAUUUAUUUAUUUUUUUAAAUCUCCAAAA